GGUUAAGCGACUAAGCGUACACGGUGGAUGCCCUGGCAGUCAGAGGCGAUGAAGGACGUGCUAAUCUGCGAUAAGCGUCGGUAAGGUGAUAUGAACCGUUAUAACCGGCGAUUUCCGAAUGGGGAAACCCAGUGUGUUUCGACACACUAUCAUUAACUGAAUCCAUAGGUUAAUGAGGCGAACCGGGGGAACUGAAACAUCUAAGUACCCCGAGGAAAAGAAAUCAACCGAGAUUCCCCCAGUAGCGGCGAGCGAACGGGGAGCAGCCCAGAGCCUGAAUCAGUAUGUGUGUUAGUGGAAGCGUCUGGAAAGGCGCGCGAUACAGGGUGACAGCCCCGUACACAAAAAUGCACAUGCUGUGAGCUCGAUGAGUAGGGCGGGACACGUGGUAUCCUGUCUGAAUAUGGGGGGACCAUCCUCCAAGGCUAAAUACUCCUGACUGACCGAUAGUGAACCAGUACCGUGAGGGAAAGGCGAAAAGAACCCCGGCGAGGGGAGUGAAAAAGAACCUGAAACCGUGUACGUACAAGCAGUGGGAGCACGCUUAGGCGUGUGACUGCGUACCUUUUGUAUAAUGGGUCAGCGACUUAUAUUCUGUAGCAAGGUUAACCGAAUAGGGGAGCCGAAGGGAAACCGAGUCUUAACUGGGCGUUAAGUUGCAGGGUAUAGACCCGAAACCCGGUGAUCUAGCCAUGGGCAGGUUGAAGGUUGGGUAACACUAACUGGAGGACCGAACCGACUAAUGUUGAAAAAUUAGCGGAUGACUUGUGGCUGGGGGUGAAAGGCCAAUCAAACCGGGAGAUAGCUGGUUCUCCCCGAAAGCUAUUUAGGUAGCGCCUCGUGAAUUCAUCUCCGGGGGUAGAGCACUGUUUCGGCAAGGGGGUCAUCCCGACUUACCAACCCGAUGCAAACUGCGAAUACCGGAGAAUGUUAUCACGGGAGACACACGGCGGGUGCUAACGUCCGUCGUGAAGAGGGAAACAACCCAGACCGCCAGCUAAGGUCCCAAAGUCAUGGUUAAGUGGGAAACGAUGUGGGAAGGCCCAGACAGCCAGGAUGUUGGCUUAGAAGCAGCCAUCAUUUAAAGAAAGCGUAAUAGCUCACUGGUCGAGUCGGCCUGCGCGGAAGAU
Molecule: ribosomal RNA, 1130 nt
Filed under: Escherichia coli
Lineage: Bacteria; Pseudomonadati; Pseudomonadota; Gammaproteobacteria; Enterobacterales; Enterobacteriaceae
Description: partial 23S ribosomal RNA
Rfam family: Bacterial large subunit ribosomal RNA
Source: RNAcentral